AGAAGCUUGGGAAAUGCUGGGCUUCUUUCCUGUGGGGCUUCUCAGAGCCUUCUCAGAGCCUUCUCAGAGCCCCAGAACACUAUAAAACCAGUGUUCACUGUGAGGUUCCAAAAGGAAGACACGGGGCUGAGGGGAUCACAUCACAGCCUGUGUGACAUGGAUGAUGUCUCCUGUCCCCAGCUCCCACUGGAGACCUACUGGCACCGUACCAUCAGCUCUGGACUGUCUUUCCUUCUCUGUUGUUGGCCUCUGGCAAUUGCCCCAACUUCCUUAGAGACUCUGGACUGUCUCUAGGAUACACAUCUGGGUGAGGUGAUGCUGUUUAAUGGAUUGCUACAGGUUGAGUUGAACCCCCCAAAAAGAUAUGUUGAAGUCUCAACCCACAGGACUUCAGAAUGUGACCUUGUUUGGAAACAAGAGUGUUGCAGGUUCCCAAGUACUUGAUGCUGGCUGCCGACUUGACUUAUUCGUCAUGACAAGGAUAAAAAAAAAAAAUUAAAUUACAGGAGCAUCCAACCCUCUCCCCUCCCACCACCCACAAGAGGAAGGACCCAGUGUCAUUUCAUAGUGGGUUGAAUGGUGCCCAUCCAAAAAAGAUAUGUUCACAUCCUGCCCCCUUGGAAUCUGUGAAUAUGCCAUUAUUUAGAAAAAGUGUCUUUGCAGAUGUAAUUAAGUUCAAUAUCUUGAAAUGAGAUCAUCCUGGAUUUUCUGGGUGGUCCCUAAAUCCAAUGACAAAAGCUCCCAUGAAGGGAAGGCCACGUGAAGACAGAGAUAGUGGUUGGAAUGAUGUACCCACAAAUCUGAGGAUACAAACAGCCAGUAGGAGCUGGAAGAGGCAAAAGACAAAGUCUCUUCUAGAGCUUUGGAGAGAGCACAGCCCUACCAACACCUUGACUUUGGACAUCUGGCCUCCAGAGAUGUGAGAGAAUAAAUCCCUGCUGUUGUAAGCCACCAAGUUUGUGACAAUUUGUUUUGGCAGCCCCAGAAAAUGAAUAGACAUUUUUUCUUGCAUUAAGGGAAAAGGGGGCUAAAUUAAAACAAACCAAUAAAUUAGAGAGGCCAAUAGGAUUUAAAUAAGAAGUUUCAUUAAUUAAUCACUUACCACAUGCCACGUACCUGUUCCAGUUAGAAGGUGACAGAAAUUUGAACCCAGCAAGAUGAACCUCAGAGCUGGUGCCUUUAACCAGCUACCUUGUGCUUUUAGGAAAGAGUAGAGCUGUAUUUAUACAGAAAGGGUCAUGGGAAGGGAAUGAGAAAAGUUAGGAAAAUUCGGAGGAAUUUUGGGGACCUUGAGAAAUUUGGCAAAUAUUUAAAUUGCUCUCCAGUUUUGUUUUGUUUUUUUUCUAAUUUUGAUGCAAGCCUGUGCUGAGACUUGCACAUAGGGUACCUGUGUUUUAUACGGGUUACUCUUUCACCCAGUUGCCAUUCAUUCAUUAAGCUCCAUUUGGCUUAUGUGCCACCAUCUGUGCUCAGUGCUAGGCAGACCUGCGGAUGAAUGAGAGCCAGACCCUGCCUUGGGGGGCUCAGCUUGUCCUGGUCCAGCAGGCAGAGAUCCCUGAGUUUGGACAUCAUUCUCUGGGCAGUGGGGUUUGUAUGCAGGGAGGGCAAAGCUGAGAGAGCAGGAACUGGCUCUGUGUUCCCAGGCUGCUGAGCCUUCUGAAUCUCUGAACCCCAAGCCCCAAACUUUGGUGGGCUGUUGGCUAAGGGGAUAAAGUGAUCCUUACUAUCUACUGAGGAUUAUAGAGCUACCUCAUUCAGGCAGCUCAAUCAGAUUUUAAAAAUGAAAAUGUUGUCUGGGGCAUCUGGGCGGCUCAGUCAGUUAAGAGUCUGCCUUCAGGUCACAUCAUGAUCCCAGGGUCCUGGGAUCGAGUUCCGAG
Canis lupus familiaris (dog) is the source of this 1877-nucleotide long non-coding RNA. RefSeq lists it as uncharacterized. The record is from RefSeq and is a predicted model, not a curated record. The transcript has 4 exons. NCBI's taxonomy places the organism in Eukaryota, Metazoa, Chordata, Mammalia, Carnivora, Canidae.